GUUGAAACACCGGCUCUCAUACGAUAAUCGAAGUUAAACAACGUCGAGUUUGGUCAGUACCUAGAUGGGUGACUGCUUGCGAAUACCAGAUACUGUAAG
This is a non-coding RNA of Acanthosepion pharaonis, 99 nucleotides long. The record is from the annotation of a GenBank genome assembly. NCBI's taxonomy places the organism in Eukaryota, Metazoa, Mollusca, Cephalopoda, Sepiida, Sepiidae.